GGAAGACGUCGGACUGAUCAGGA
This 23-nucleotide non-coding RNA is filed under the name Cricetulus griseus (Chinese hamster). The record is from RNAcentral. Lineage: Eukaryota; Metazoa; Chordata; Mammalia; Rodentia; Cricetidae.